GACAGAGGGUGCAAGCGUUGUUCGGAAUCAUUGGGCGUAAAGGGCGCGUAGGCGGUCAGGUAAGUCAACUGUGAAAGCCCUGGGCUCAACCUGGGAAUUGCGAUGGAUACUGGCAAGCUAGAGUACGGUAGAGGAUGGUGGAAUUCCCGGUGUAGCGGUGAAAUGCGUAGAGAUCGGGAGGAACACCCGUGGCGAAGGCGGCCAUCUGGACCAGUACUGACGCUGAGGCACGAAAGCGUGGGGAGCAAACAGG
RNAcentral lists this ribosomal RNA (253 nucleotides) under uncultured bacterium. RNAcentral describes it as "partial 16S ribosomal RNA". It matches the Rfam family "Bacterial small subunit ribosomal RNA", at positions 524 to 776 of the family's 1533-position model. The record is from RNAcentral.